This 494-nucleotide ribosomal RNA is filed under the name uncultured bacterium. Its description in RNAcentral is "partial 16S ribosomal RNA". It matches the Rfam family "Bacterial small subunit ribosomal RNA", at positions 28 to 507 of the family's 1533-position model. The record is from RNAcentral.
GACGAACGCUGGCGGCGUGCUUAACACAUGCAAGUCGAACGGUGAAGCGCCUUCCUUUUUGGUGGGUGUGGAUGAGUGGCGAACGGGUGAGUAACACGUGAGUAACCUGCCCCCUUCUUCUGGAUAACCGCAUGAAAGUGUGGCUAAUACGGGAUAUUCUGGGUCUGUCGCAUGAUGGGUCUGGGAAAGAUAUUGUUUCGGUGGGGGAUGGGCUCGCGGCCUAUCAGCUUGUUGGUGGGGUGAUGGCCUACCAAGGCGGUGACGGGUAGCCGGCCUGAGAGGGUGGACGGUCACACUGGGACUGAGACACGGCCCAGACUCAUACGGGAGGCAGCAGUGGGGAAUAUGGCACAAUGGGCGCAAGCCUGAUGCAGCGACGCCGCGUGAGGGAUGGAGGCCUUCGGGUUGUGAACCUCUUUCGCCAGUGAAGCAGGCCUGCCUCGUUUGUGGGUGGGUUGACGGUAGCUGGAGAAGAAGCGCCGGCUAACUACGUG